ACAUUUUCUGCAUCCAAGCUAGUUCAGAAGAACAGGAGAAGAAUAUGGGCCCAGGUGGAUUUGGAACCUCUUCCCAAUUUGGAAUGUUUACUUUUUGAUUUAAUAGUGGGCACUGCAAUUUGACAACAAUCAAUAACAUACUGUCACAUUUUGGGACAUCUACCAUGAUAUCCUGGCUUCUUCAGAGCUGUUCCCAGUUGGAAAGAAGAUGAGAAAAAGAUGAGCAUAGCAGGGGAACAAAAUAGCUGCUAUGCUGUGAAAAUAAAAUAUUGGAGGGUGGUGUUAAAGGUGAAACCGGUCUAUCACACUGGAUUGUCACUUGCCUUGAAUCUGGCAUUCUUUCAACAGGAUAACCACAGCGAAUAAAGUUUUCUCUACAAUAAGAUUUUGUUAUUCCAAUUUAAGAUGGUCUUAUAGAUGG
Molecule: long non-coding RNA, 421 nt
Organism: Sceloporus undulatus (fence lizard)
Lineage: Eukaryota; Metazoa; Chordata; Lepidosauria; Squamata; Phrynosomatidae
Exons: 4
Source: RefSeq, a predicted model, not a curated record